ACAACAUCGGAACAUAUACUUGAGAUAUAAAGAUGAUAAAUU
This 42-nucleotide non-coding RNA is filed under the name Trypanosoma brucei brucei. The record is from RNAcentral. Lineage: Eukaryota; Euglenozoa; Kinetoplastea; Trypanosomatida; Trypanosomatidae.